This is a non-coding RNA of Bos taurus (domestic cattle), 73 nucleotides long. The record is from Rfam. Lineage: Eukaryota; Metazoa; Chordata; Mammalia; Artiodactyla; Bovidae.
UCCCUUGUAGCUCAGCUGGUUAAGAAUCUGCCUGCAGUGCAGGAGACCCGGGUUCGAUCCCUGGGUCAGGGAA